Non-coding RNA from Pluteus cervinus, 101 nucleotides. The record is from the annotation of a GenBank genome assembly. NCBI's taxonomy places the organism in Eukaryota, Fungi, Basidiomycota, Agaricomycetes, Agaricales, Pluteaceae.
GCGACGGUGGUGUAGUGGAAAGCACACUCGACGCCACGGACACUUCCUCUAAGGCUGUGACUGGGCUGAGAGCGACAAGGGUUCGAAUCCCUUCCCUCGCA